Long non-coding RNA from Macrosteles quadrilineatus (aster leafhopper), 404 nucleotides. RefSeq lists it as uncharacterized. The transcript is spliced from 3 exons. The record is from RefSeq and is a predicted model, not a curated record. Lineage: Eukaryota; Metazoa; Arthropoda; Insecta; Hemiptera; Cicadellidae.
UUCGCAGUUCACUGACUACAGCAGUCUCCAGUCUGUUGAUUUGAUCUUGAUCACGGGCUGACGACUGACGGGCAUCACGGCAUUUUGUUUGUGUUUAAAAAGUUAUAAGUUGCAUCAAGUUUACUGAUUUUAUCCUACAUAGCUUCUUAAGCAGCAAACAAGAAAUGACGAAGAAGAGAUGGGCCAACAUUGAACAAAGCAAAAUAGAGAAAUCAGUUGCUUCAUGGCUGGCACAGACACAAUUAAAAUCAAAGACUUAGAAAGGGGCAGGAUGUCAAAGAGCACCUGAAGAACAGGAAGAUGAGGAUCAUGAAGCCGCCGACGCUUGAAUGAUGUGUAAAUAAUGUAUUGUCAGGGUGUCUACGAACCGGGAAAUCCGGGAAUGAACUUAUCUUUUUACUAAA